This 503-nucleotide ribosomal RNA is filed under the name uncultured bacterium. Its description in RNAcentral is "bacterial SSU rRNA". It matches the Rfam family "Bacterial small subunit ribosomal RNA", at positions 25 to 518 of the family's 1533-position model. The record is from RNAcentral.
CAGGACGAACGCUGGCGGCGUGCCUAACACAUGCAAGUCGAACGAAGCAUUUGGAGUUGAUCCCUUCGGGGUGACGCACCUUAUGACUUAGUGGCGGACGGGUGAGUAACACGUGAGCAACCUGCCUCUCAGAGUGGAAUAACAGUUGGAAACGGCUGCUAAUACCACAUAACGUUUUUUGUGCCGCAUGACACUUCAACCAAAGAUUUAUCGCUGAGAGAUGGGCUCGCGUCCGAUUAGGUAGAUGGUGGGGUAACGGCCUACCAUGCCGACGAUCGGUAGCCGGACUGAGAGGUUGAUCGGCCACAUUGGGACUGAGACACGGCCCAGACUCCUACGGGAGGGCAGCAGUGGGGGAGUAUUGCACAAUGGGCGCAAGCCUCGAUGCAGCAACGCCGCGUGCGGGAAGACGGCCUUCGGGUUGUAAACCGCUGUCCUUGGGGAAGGAAACAAAUGACGGUACCCAAGAAGGAAGCCACGGCUAACUACGUGCCAGCAGCUGC